This is a long non-coding RNA of Mus musculus (house mouse), 1226 nucleotides long. RefSeq annotates it as predicted gene, 39409. NCBI's taxonomy places the organism in Eukaryota, Metazoa, Chordata, Mammalia, Rodentia, Muridae. The record is from RefSeq and is a predicted model, not a curated record. The transcript is spliced from 5 exons.
UGGGCAGGCAGGGGACAGCCUAUUUCCUUGUCCAGAACUCAGCCACGCGGCCACACCUAACCAACGAAGGAAGAAGAGAGAGGAACAGAUCCAGUGAGCAGUGUGGCCUCUGACACAGGGGUGUUUUGAAUGCAUAUUUGUCUGUGCCCACAUGUAUGCAGUGCCCAUCGAGGCCAGCCAGAAGAGGGUGUCAGAUCCCCUGGAACUAGAGACACGUGCCAAGUUUGCGUGUGGACAAAGGACAACCUAUGGGCGUGAGUUCUCUUCUUUCACCAUGGGGGACCCAGAGAUCAAACUGGAUCACCAGCACCUUUACCUGCCAAACCAUCUUACUGGACCUAAGCCUACAGACUUCUGGAAAUAAAUGAUGAGGCAAUGGAACAAUCAAUGGAAAGCAAGAUUCCAGGAUUUGUUUAGAGCGCCUGGACCUCGAACCAAACCUUUCUUGAAGCCCGUGACCUCUGGACUUUCCAGCUGUGUUCACCUUCGUCUCUCUGCUGCCUCUUUGACAUUCUCAGAACCCGGGAACAGGUGAUGCAGACUUCUCAUGUAUGGCUGAGCCCUCAACAGACCCUUGGGCCAGUUAUGAGUCUUUGCAGUAACUGUUGCCACGACAAAAGAAAUGUCUGUGGCCAAAACCAAGAGCAGCACUAUGGAGUAUGGACAUGGCUGUGGUUUGCAUAAGGUGUCCCAUCAUCUUGGGCAUUUGAAUACUUAGUCCCAGUUAGUGGUGCUGUUUGGGGACACAGGAAGAGUGGCCUUAUUAGAGGAAGUAUGCCGUUGGAAGUUCAGAGAUUCGUGCCAUUUCUAGUUUGCUCUCUGUUUCUUGCUUGUGGUUCAAGGUGUUAGCUCCCAUAUCAGUUUCUAGCUCCAGCCUCCCUGUGUGCCUACCCGCUGUCAUGCCUCCCCAUCUUUAUGGACCAUAACUCACCAGGACCAUACGCCCAGAUAAAUCCUUCUUCUAUAAGUUGUCUUGCUCAUGGUAUUUUAUCAAAACAAUUAAUACAAAUAGAAAUAUAUAGAAAGCAGUUUCACCGGAACUUGAUCUUGAUUGCCCGCCAGAAUUGGGUGACAAAACCCAAUUGUUGAAGACAGCACACACGUCGGUUGCAGAACGUAGAGAAAGCAAGCUGGAGGCUUCCUUCUUGCUGUCUGGCUCUCAUAGUACUGGGAGUGGGGAGCUCCCAGUACUAUGAGAUCUUUUUUUUUAAUCAAACCAACAUCAU